UUUUACUUGCUGCCAAAUAAUGAGCACUUCUCUUCUGUUAUGGACGAGAUAAAAUAUUUUGUCAGCCCUGACUGUUGAUAGGCUUAACUUUUGCUAUAAUACACUAGUGGACGUUAGAAGAUUGUGUAGAAAAUAGGUACUUGUAUGCUACUAAAUGUGUGGUGAGAUGGGUGUAAUCAGCAUAUAGCUGUGAUGAUUUUCCGAAGCACAUAAACAGGAAUUGGGUGCUGCGGAUAGGUGAAAGGCUUUUAGGAGAAGGGGAGCUCUGGCCAUGUUUAUGGGAACCCCUAAAGUUGUGAUUACCCACUCUGACUUCCAG
This 319-nucleotide small RNA is filed under the name Vigna angularis var. angularis. RNAcentral's name for it is "Non-protein coding transcript". Lineage: Eukaryota; Viridiplantae; Streptophyta; Magnoliopsida; Fabales; Fabaceae. The record is from RNAcentral.